Molecule: ribosomal RNA, 544 nt
Filed under: uncultured fungus
Lineage: Eukaryota; Fungi
Description: SSU rRNA
Rfam family: Eukaryotic small subunit ribosomal RNA
Source: RNAcentral
UUGGAGGGCAAGUCUGGUGCCAGCAGCCGCGGUAAUUCCAGCUCCAAUAGCGUAUAUUAAAGUUGUUGAGGUUAAAAAGCUCGUAGUUGAACCUUGGGCCUAGCCGGCCGGUCCGCCUCACCGCGUGCACUGGCUCGGCUGGGUCUUUCCUUCUGGAGAACCGCAUGCCCUUCACUGGGUGUGCCGGGGAACCAGGACUUUUAYUYUKAACAAAUUAGAUCGCUUAAAGAAGGCCUAUGCUCGAAUACAUUAGCAUGGAAUAAUAGAAUAGGACGUGUGGUUCUAUUUUGUUGGUUUCUAGGACCGCCGUAAUGAUUAAUAGGGACAGUCGGGGGCAUCAGUAUUCAAUUGUCAGAGGUGAAAUUCUUGGAUUUAUUGAAGACUAACUACUGCGAAAGCAUUUGCCAAGGAUGUUUUCAUUAAUCAGGAACGAAAGUUAGGGGAUCGAAGACGAUCAGAUACCGUCGUAGUCUUAACCAUAAASUAUGCCGAUUAGGGAUCGGACGGCGUUAUUUUUUGACCCGURSGGCGCCUUACGGGAAAC